GAAUAUUGGACAAUGGGCGAAAGCCUGAUCCAGCAAUGCCGCGUGAGUGAUGAAGGCCUUAGGGUUGUAAAGCUCUUUUACCCGGGAUGAUAAUGACAGUACCGGGAGAAUAAGCUCCGGCUAACUCCGUGCCGGCAGCCGCGGUAAUACGGAGGGGACUAGCGUUGUUCGGAAUUACUGGGCGUAAAGCGCACGUAGGCGGAUUCGUAAGUCAGGGGUGAAAUCCCGAGGCUCAACCUCGGAACUGCCUUUGAUACUGCGAAUCUCGAGUCCGGAAGAGGUGAGUGGAAUUCCUAGUGUAGAGGUGAAAUUCGUAGAUAUUAGGAAGAACACCAGUGGCGAAGGCGGCUCACUGGUCCGGUACUGACGCUGAGGUGCGAAAGCGUGGGGAGCAAACAGG
RNAcentral lists this ribosomal RNA (400 nucleotides) under uncultured bacterium. RNAcentral describes it as "bacterial SSU rRNA". It matches the Rfam family "Bacterial small subunit ribosomal RNA", at positions 359 to 776 of the family's 1533-position model. The record is from RNAcentral.